RNAcentral lists this long non-coding RNA (1185 nucleotides) under Toxoplasma gondii VEG. The record is from RNAcentral. Lineage: Eukaryota; Apicomplexa; Conoidasida; Eucoccidiorida; Sarcocystidae.
GUCGCCUGUGCCAGAAGCAGCGAGAUGAAGUAGUCCUCCGGAUUUCAGUGUCGUCUAGCAUUGCCAGUCGCCUCUAUGGUAUGCCAUCUUGCGUCACGACGUUGCGUCACACUCCCAUCCCCAUAGUAAGCGAAGUAUUGACAGAGUGAUAAUGUACUGAGUUAACGCAGUGGAGGACUGAGUCUAGCUUUUCGAGAAUGUGGUGGUCCAAUUAACGUUUGGAUUUACAUCGAGAAGUGCUGAUCGUGAGCGCGCACAGAUGGAUCAAUCGUUACAAUUUCUGUGUCCAAGCACUUGAGAAGUGCCAUAAGAAAUAAUUCCCUUUUCUGUAAACUAUGCUGCACAGUGGCAUGACAGUGUAAGACUGCGAGUAAAUCAGGUGAGUCGUCGUAUUUCAUAGGUGCCUCAGGUAGGUGCAUUUGGCCGAUGAUAUACCUCGGCAGUCUGCCAAGUUUCGGGGUGGACGGAGAGGAGAUCAGGGCCCGUCGUGAGGGUGUGAAGAUUAGUUGCGCGGGUGAAAGGAAAUGGGGAGAAAAAGAACUCAAAUGAAAAGUACCUCCGAUCAUCCCCUUUUCAAAACGCAAUUUCAUCGCAAUGUUAAGAAGUAUGUCGAAGUUUUUGCAGUCGCGGAAUAUGGAGGGUGCACUUUACGCAGUGUCUCACUUCAUCGGUUUGUUGGCGAUCAGCGCUGGACCUUCAGGGAUAACGGACGAUCACGAGAACUUGAAUUAGUUGUGCACGUAUUGCCACGGCGAGAGAAGACGUGGCACGGGAGCAACGUAGCCGGGGGAAGCGCGCGGUUGUGCACGUCUGCAUAGAUGGAAGCCUGUUCGAAAUUCGCCUGGCUUCUAUAGCGUUUCCCAAAAACAGUAUUCCCGUGUUCUCGUGCCGAUAGGCUGCUGGAAGAGCGGUAUGCAGCAUGGCUAAUGACGUGGCCAGCAGUGUCGGACGCCUCCUCACAGUUCGAGAGUUGAGCUUGCGUUCUACGAAGACCGCUCGAAUCCUUGUUUCAUUGGCAUUCACUGUGGUGUUUUAGAAGUAUCCUCUUUUUCAGUCUGUAAGCUUUUGACUUCUAGCUGUCUCGUAGGCGUGAUCAGUCGAUUCAGUGUUGUACUUUGUCGUUGCCUAAUUAGGGUGCUAUCGAGUUGCGUAUCGGGGCAAAGGAUCAUAGGUCGUGCCGGUGGC